This 372-nucleotide ribosomal RNA is filed under the name uncultured bacterium. RNAcentral describes it as "bacterial SSU rRNA". It matches the Rfam family "Bacterial small subunit ribosomal RNA", at positions 527 to 896 of the family's 1533-position model. The record is from RNAcentral.
AGAGGGUGCAAGCGUUAUUCGGAAUUACUGGGCGUAAAGCGCGUGUAGGCGGUUUGGUAAGUUUGAUGUGAAAUCCCUGAGCUCAAAUCAGGAACUGCAUUGAAUACUGCCAGACUAGAGUAUGGGAGAGGAGAGCGGAAUUCCUGGUGUAGAGGUGAAAUUCGUAGAUAUCAGGAGGAACAACAGAAGCGAAGGCGGCUCUCUGGACCAUUACUGACGCUGAGACGCGAAAGCGUGGGGAGCAAACAGGAUUAGAUACCCUGGUAGUCCACGCUGUAAACUAUGGAGAUUAGAUGUCGGGGGGUCUUUGCCCCUUCGGUGUCGUAGCCAACGCGUUAAAUCUCCCGCCUGGGGAUUACGGCCGCAAGGUUA